RNAcentral lists this ribosomal RNA (468 nucleotides) under uncultured bacterium. RNAcentral's name for it is "partial 16S ribosomal RNA". It matches the Rfam family "Bacterial small subunit ribosomal RNA", at positions 28 to 507 of the family's 1533-position model. The record is from RNAcentral.
GACGAACGCUGGCGGCGUGCUUAACACAUGCAAGUCGAACGGAAAGGCCCUGCUUUUGUGGCGUGCUCGAGUGGCGAACGGGUGAGUAACACGUGAGUUACCUUCCCGUUAGUUUGGGAUAACUUCAGGUAAUUGGGGCUAAUACCUGAUAGGGGCUCCUGCUGCAUGGUGUGGGUUGGAAAGUUUCGGCGGUUGGGGAUGGACUUGCGGCUUAUCAGGUUGUUGGUGGGGUAGUGGCUGACCAAGGCUUGGGCGGGUGGCCGGCCUGAGAGGGGGACCGGCCUACUGGGGAGGGACCUACGGCCCAGAGUCCUACGGGAGGAGGCAGUGGGGAAGAUUGAAAAAUGGGGGGAAGCCGGAUGCAGCACGGCCGCGCGAGGGAUGAGGGCCUUCGGGUGGUAAACCGCUUUAGCCUGUGAGGAAGCGUGGGUGACGGUACCGGGCGAAGAAGCACCGGCUAACUACGUG